Molecule: ribosomal RNA, 428 nt
Filed under: uncultured bacterium
Lineage: Bacteria
Description: bacterial SSU rRNA
Rfam family: Bacterial small subunit ribosomal RNA
Source: RNAcentral
UAGGGAAUCUUCCGCAAUGGACGAAAGUCUGACGGAGCAACGCCGCGUGAGUGAUGAAGGUCUUCGGAUCGUAAAACUCUGUUAUCAGGGAAGAACAAGCAUAGGAGUAACUGCCUGUGCCUUGACGGUACCUGACCAGAAAGCCACGGCUAACUACGUGCCAGCAGCCGCGGUAAUAUGUAGGUGGCAAGCGUUGUCCGGAAUUAUUGGGCGUAAAGCGCGCGCAGGCGGUCCUUUAAGUCUGAUGUGAAAUCCCGUGGCUUAACCACGGGCGGUCAUUGGAAACUGGGGGACUUGAGUGCAGAAGAGAAGAGCGGAAUUCCACGUGUAGUGGUGAAAUGCGUAGAGAUGUGGAGGAACACCAGUGGCGAAGGCGGCUCUUUGGUCUGUAACUGACGCUGAGGCGCGAAAGCGUGGGGAGCGAACAG